Molecule: long non-coding RNA, 535 nt
Organism: Micropterus dolomieu (smallmouth bass)
Lineage: Eukaryota; Metazoa; Chordata; Actinopteri; Centrarchiformes; Centrarchidae
Exons: 3
Source: RefSeq, a predicted model, not a curated record
ACAACAACUAAGUGCAGGUUUCCAGGAAGCUAACUGCGGCAGACAUGGAGGCCCUCUUCAGACCAGAACUAAGUCCAGCAGGAAGCAACAGAAGGCAGGAGGAAGGGAAAACGCUGAUUAUCUCUUUGACACUGAAGAAACACAGACUACAGUAUCUCUGGAAGAUGUUUGCCACAGGGCUGUCAUCAAUGCCACCUGCAGGGAUAACACCAGCACCAAGCAUUGAAUUCCUUAACAAUUCACCGUUCCCGAUGGCAAAUACAUGUGCCAAUAAGCUGAGGUUACCACAUCUGGACUCAUACUGUCUACUCAAAACAAACAUGGGUUUUGGUGUCCAUAAUUCCCCAGGAUUUGGGUGCAUGUAAAUGAAUGUGAUAUUGUAACUUAGAGGGUAUCUUCAGUUUUUUCAACCUGGACCAUGUUUUUGUUUCUAAGUGACUGGUGGUAACAACAAUCUUUGUAAAUGGUCUAGUGUUAAGCCAGACUGGUGCAGUCAGCAGUGGUAAAACAGGCUCCAAUGUAAUAUUAAUUAAAG